RNAcentral lists this unclassified non-coding RNA (391 nucleotides) under Hevea brasiliensis (rubber tree). The record is from RNAcentral. Lineage: Eukaryota; Viridiplantae; Streptophyta; Magnoliopsida; Malpighiales; Euphorbiaceae.
AAGAAAUUGACCUUUGUAUAAUUUCAGCCUCCGGCUCAGAACUUUGCUGUUGAAUAUUUUCAGAAGUUGCUAUAUCUAAUACCUGUGUAUCUAGGACUAGAUUUUCUUGAAGUGCCUCCAAACUCUCAUCAAAAUCAUACUUCUGAAUACUCAGGUCCAACUGUUCAUUCUUAACACUGCUACUUGAGAAAGGUGAACUAAGAACCACCUGCCCUUGUGGAAAAUUGUUACUCUCUUCAUCAGAUAUGACCCAAAGCUUUUCAUUGGGAGAAUCAUCUUCUAUGGAAGCACUUGGAUUCAUCUGUAACGGAGAGUAAAAGAUUUCUUUAGACUCUACUUCAGCAGUUCUCAUCUUAUCACUCAAAGCAACAGGCAAUAAGUUGCGGCCAAU